RNAcentral lists this non-coding RNA (29 nucleotides) under Mus musculus (house mouse). The record is from RNAcentral. Lineage: Eukaryota; Metazoa; Chordata; Mammalia; Rodentia; Muridae.
UUCACUUUUAGUUGACAGUGACUGGUGUA